RNAcentral lists this transfer RNA (68 nucleotides) under Marmota monax (woodchuck). Its description in RNAcentral is "tRNA.Ala". Lineage: Eukaryota; Metazoa; Chordata; Mammalia; Rodentia; Sciuridae. The record is from RNAcentral.
GGAAUGUAGCUCAGUGGUGGGGCACUUGACUAGCAUACACAAGGCCCUGGAUUCAAUCCCCAGCACCA